AGUAAUAGAGUAUUUUAGUUCAAAUAUUGAAACAUCCGAACAAAAAAGUGACACCUCAACAUAAAUACAACAUAUAUAUAUUGCUGUUCCAACAUUACAAAGCCUCAGUAUUGACUAAAUGUAAGAUUCUAUUCUGUAUACAAUAUCUCUAUCAAGAUUUCUCAAAAAGUAGAUGUCCCAGCAAAAAGCCUUUUCUAACUAGUGCAUUCACCCCUUUAUACUUACCUUGUAGCACCCCUUUAUACUUACCUUGUAGCUAAUCAAUCACAAUAAAGAUGCUUAGCUUAAGUAUUGAUAAUGUUGAAGGAGAACUUUGAUA
Molecule: unclassified non-coding RNA, 319 nt
Filed under: Hevea brasiliensis (rubber tree)
Lineage: Eukaryota; Viridiplantae; Streptophyta; Magnoliopsida; Malpighiales; Euphorbiaceae
Source: RNAcentral